RNAcentral lists this non-coding RNA (148 nucleotides) under Homo sapiens (human). The record is from Rfam by way of RNAcentral. Lineage: Eukaryota; Metazoa; Chordata; Mammalia; Primates; Hominidae.
GCUGGGUGUGGUGGUGUGUGCCUGUAGUCCCAACUACUUGGGAGGCUGAGGUAGGAGGAUUGCUUGAGCCCAGGAGGUUGAGGCUGCAGUGAGCUGUCAUUGUGCCACUGCACUCCAGCCUGAGCAACUAAGAAAGACCCUGUCUCAA